Hemibagrus wyckioides is the source of this 3653-nucleotide long non-coding RNA. RefSeq lists it as uncharacterized. The transcript has 3 exons. NCBI's taxonomy places the organism in Eukaryota, Metazoa, Chordata, Actinopteri, Siluriformes, Bagridae. The record is from RefSeq and is a predicted model, not a curated record.
AUGGACCUGCAUAAUAAGGUAGUAGAACUUUAUAAAGCAUGAAAAGCAUCUAAAAAGAUAUCUCAACACUUUAAAAUGCCAGUCAGUACUGUUCAAACUCUGAUAAAGAGGUGGAAAAUAAAAGGUUCUGUUGAUACUAUGCCACAGUCAUGUACAGCAAGAAAGAUUUCACCCACUACUGACAGAAGAAUUGUUCUGGACACAAAGAAAAACCCACAAACAGCUUGGAGAGAAAUACAGGCUGCUCUGGAAAAAAAAAAGUGGUGGUGUUGUUUCAAGGAGCACAAUAAGGAGGUACCUGAACUCAAAUGGCCCGCAUGGUGGAGUUGCCAGGAGAAAGCCGUUACAGGAAAAAGCCGAGUCAUUCAGAGUGAUGAGUCCAAUAUUGACCUUCAUAGUCACAACCAUAAACGCUAUGUUUGGAGAGGAGUCAACAAGACCUACAGUGAAAAGUACACCAUCCCCACUGUAAAGCAUGCUGGUGGAUCUCUAAUGUUCUGGGGCAAGAUGAAUACAGCAAAAUACUGGCAAAUAAUAUGAAUUCUACAGCAUGAAAGCUGCACAUGGGACGCUCUUGGAUGUUCCAACAUGACAAUGAUCCAAAGCACAAGGCCAAGUUGACCCUCCAAUAGCUACAGCAAAGAGAUCUCAAAUGUGCAGUUUUGUGCAGGACAACCAAAAAAUUUACAGAAACUGGAGGCAUUUUGCCAAGAGGAAUGGGCAGCUCUACCAGCUGAGAGAAUUAAGGGCCUCGUGCACAAUUAUUACAAAAGACUGAAUGCCAUUGUUGAUGCUAAAGGGGUCAAUACACCAAGAACCAAAGGUAUGCAAACUUUUGAACAGCGGUUAUUUCCUCAUGUUUUGUUUGAUGAUUAUGCCUUGCAUAUGAACUUGAGUCCUAUAAAAAAACACAAUCUAUUUGUUUUGCCUUCUCACUUAUGUUUUCUUUAAAAAAAAAACAUCUUGCAGAUUCUCUCAAGGUCUGCAAACUUUUGAGCACAACUGUAUUAAGUAACAAAUGGUCCAAAUACUUCACUUAUAACUCAAUCUCUCUUUUCUCAAACCCUCUACAGGACACAUAGACAAUAUGAGGAUGAUGUAUAUUUUAUGUCUGUUGCCCUGAUGUUUGCUAAGAAGAGCCCUGAUCCUAGCACAAUGGUAUCAAAUACUGUCCUAAAUGCUGCACUUGCAAUGUUACUCCAUUAUUACAGCCUUGUGAGGUCCAUGAGUCCAAGGUGUGUCAUGCUUCUCUAUUUACAGAAUUAAAAGUAUGUCCACGAAUUACCCACAAUCCUCCAUGAUUGCACUAUUUCCACCGCCAAGACAGUGUGUGGUAGCCAUAUACUGAAUUUAGUCACCCACUACUUAGCUAAGACAUUAGCCAUGCUGAGGGCAUGUGGGCGGAGCUAAAAUAGUGCAAUCCAUAUUGGUCAAACACAAACAUGCCCUGAUUAUGAUUGACAGAAAUUGAUGUGAUUCACAAAUCCAAAAAUCUGCACAUGCAGAUGUUAGCACACGUAACAAACUGUGAUGCACUCUGUAUUCUGACCCCUUUCUAUCAGAACCAACAUUAACUUCAUAUAACCGUUUGACCAACAGUAGCUCGUCUGUUGGAUCGGAUCACACGGGCCAGCCUUCUCUCCCCACGUGCAUCAGUGAGCCUUGGCCGCCCAUGACCCUGUCACUGGUUCACCACUUGUCCAUUUUUCCUGCUUCUAACACAUCAACUUUGAGGACAAAAUGUUGACUUGAUGCCUAAUAUAUCAUCAGAUCAUCAGAGUUAUUCACUUCACCUCUCAGUGGUCAUAAUGUUAUGCCUGAUUCCCUGUAACGAGUGUGCUAAACUCAUCGUCCAAUCAGGUAUUAAACAUGUGGUUUACUUAUCAAAUAAAUAUGCACAAGAAGUAGAGACAAGGGCCUCUGUCAGAAUUCUGGAUGAAGCAAGCACACCAGAGAAUAAAAUCUACAGACAGUUUGAGUCAAGGCAGGAAGUUCAUGACCUGCUGGACUCCAUCAAUCCCUUUGCUGAGUGAACCAAGCUCUUCACUGCUGAAAUGCUGAAUAUUAUUAAAACAUUUAACUUUCCCAAAAAACUGAGGGGUAAAAUAGUAAUAUAGUUCAGUAGACAAAGUAAUCAUGGGUGAAAAUGGCUUAAAUACUGCUAUAUAACUGAAAUGUUUAAUCUUUAAUUAACUUUAAUUACAUUUAAUCGAAUCUAACUUGUGAUUUUACUUCUGAUAUUUUAUUUUUUUGGUGGAAAAAUUAAUGUGUUGGUGAGCAUGGGGUCAGGGCUUAAAUAACCCAACAACCUUUCCCCCUAAAAUUAAAUUUGAGCUGCUAACUAAAAGUCAGGUAUCAGACCAGAGUUGACAACAAAAUAAACUUUUAUUUCAGAUAGCAGAUAAAAUCAUUUCACACAAAGCAACCAGAAAACGCCAUUAUUACCUCUCCAGUAUUGGGUGCUGGCUUCCCUAAGCCUGAGGACACCAAACUCAUGUGCACCCCAACACCACAGCAUAUACACGACACCAUUGUGACUGCAGCUGCACUGGAACACUGAAAAUAGGAAAUAGCUAUAGUGCUAUAGUGCUGGAAAUAGCUAUAGUGCUAUAGCUGGUUGCCCCAACACUGAAGGGAAAUAUAGCACAUUUAAGGUUUCAGUCAUAUACACACCAUUCAUUCUCAAACGAAAAAGAAAGGUUUUCAAUUAUCAGCAUGACAUGUACCAUUAACAAAAAUUAAUUAAUAAUAAGAAAGACAGAAACCAGUAACAAACUAAUUAAUAAUUAAAAAAAGACAAGAAAACAGGAAUAACUGAGUUGAAUGCACUCAUCAGAAGAAUAAAACAAAUUAGAAACAGCACUGCCUGAGGGAAAUACAAAAGAACAGGUAGAACAAAAAGGGAAUCAUUAAAGAAAAAACAAAACAGAAAUUCAAAAUGAAAUGGUGUCGUCUUGUGUGAACUGAACAAGAAGGUAAAUCUGUUUCACACAGUCCUGCAUCCUAAUAGUUACCACAAGUGAACGCAAAAGCAACUCUGUCAGAAGGACAAACCCAAAAGCCCGAAACCUGCUGCAACAUCACUUAGCCAACCAUUACCUGGGUAGAUACAAAACACACCUGCAAAUUAAAAGUUGCAAAUUAAGCUAUUUAAAACAAACCUUUAUUAAAAAUUUAUGACAUAACUGAUAACCGUUAGUUUAACCCACACAAUGAUUCCCUUUAUAAAUGACCAUUACAAGCAUCCUAUCCGGCUCCUCAGUCCACACUAAAGAUAAAGCAGUCUCAUGUAAACCCUGCAUCACAAACAAUCCACCAUACAAAUGUAACAAACAACUUUUACCUCAAAGGGCAUUCAAAUGGCACUCCAGAAAUGAGGAAAUGCUAGGUAGGCGUGUUUCCCAAUGAUGUGACUAAUGUGACUAAUGCCAGUUUUAUACCCUCUGAACAAGAGCCCAGUCAAGACCCUCCCUGAUCACUUUUAAAGCUGGUUUAAAACUGUUUCACAUACUGCAUUCUGUCUUUUCCUUUUUCCAUUACUAUUAUUACUUAUUAAUAAUUAUUACUAUCAGUGUUGUAUAAAGUACCCAAAAGCCAUACUUGAGUAAAAGUACAGGUAUUUUGUUAGAAAAUGACUCAAGUAAAAGUUAAAG